Lampris incognitus (smalleye Pacific opah) is the source of this 234-nucleotide long non-coding RNA. RefSeq lists it as uncharacterized. The record is from RefSeq and is a predicted model, not a curated record. The transcript is spliced from 3 exons. Lineage: Eukaryota; Metazoa; Chordata; Actinopteri; Lampriformes; Lampridae.
GUCACCUGCAAGUACUGGCCAUACCUCCAAAAGGUAGUGGCUGCCCUUCCACCACUCCAGGGGCUCUUGCAGAUGAGGCCAUUCCUCAGCAUCAUGCAUGCCAGGGCUCAUGCCACAAAGUCUUAAAUGGAGUGGCAGGAAUCAGGAGGGAGUGGGCACAACGGCUGGUGAAGAGGUUGAGCAGCCCGUGUGGACAUGCUGACUGUCCAUGCAAUGGAAUGGAACAGGCACAAG